This 311-nucleotide ribosomal RNA is filed under the name Shigella sonnei. Its description in RNAcentral is "bacterial SSU rRNA". It matches the Rfam family "Bacterial small subunit ribosomal RNA", at positions 915 to 1226 of the family's 1533-position model. The record is from RNAcentral. Lineage: Bacteria; Pseudomonadati; Pseudomonadota; Gammaproteobacteria; Enterobacterales; Enterobacteriaceae.
GGGGGCCCGCACAAGCGGUGGAGCAUGUGGUUUAAUUCGAUGCAACGCGAAGAACCUUACCUGGUCUUGACAUCCACAGAACUUUCCAGAGAUGGAUUGGUGCCUUCGGGAACUGUGAGACAGGUGCUGCAUGGCUGUCGUCAGCUCGUGUUGUGAAAUGUUGGGUUAAGUCCCGCAACGAGCGCAACCCUUAUCCUUUGUUGCCAGCGGUCCGGCCGGGAACUCAAAGGAGACUGCCAGUGAUAAACUGGAGGAAGGUGGGGAUGACGUCAAGUCAUCAUGGCCCUUACGACCAGGGCUACACACGUGCU